UACGAAGGGGGCUAGCGUUGUUCGGAUUAACUGGGCGUAAAGGGUGCGUAGGCGGGGUUUUAAGUCAGGGGUGAAAUGCCGAGGCUCAACUUCGGAACUGCCUUUGAUACUGGAACUCUUGAGUCUGGGAGAGGUGAGUGGAACUGCGAGUGUAGAGGUGAAAUUCGUAGAUAUUCGGAGGAACACCAGUGGCGAAGGCGGCUCACUGGCUCGGUACUGACGCUGAGGCACGGAAAGCGUGGGGAGCAAACAGG
Molecule: ribosomal RNA, 254 nt
Filed under: uncultured bacterium
Lineage: Bacteria
Description: partial 16S ribosomal RNA
Rfam family: Bacterial small subunit ribosomal RNA
Source: RNAcentral